AACGAACGCUGGCGGCAUGCCUAACACAUGCCAGUCGAACGAGACCUUCGGGUCUAGUGGCGCACGGGUGCGUAACGCGUGGGAACCUGCCCUUAGGUUCGGAAUAACUCCCCGAAAGGGGUGCUAAUACCGGAUAAUGUCUUCGGACCAAAGAUUUAUCGCCUUUGGAUGGGCCGGCGUUGGAUUAGCUAGUUGGUAGGGUAAAAGCCUACCAAGGCGACGAUCCUUAGCUGGGCUGAGGGGAUGAUCCGCCACACUGGGACUGAGACACGGCCCAGACUCGUACGGGAGGCAGCAGUGGGGAAUAUUGGACAAUGGGCGAAAGCCUAAUCCAGCAAUGCCGCGUGAGUGAUGAAGGCCUUAGGGUUGUAAAGCUCUUUUAGCCGGGAUGAUAAUGACAGUACCGGGAGAAUAAGCGCCGGCUAACUCCGUG
This 433-nucleotide ribosomal RNA is filed under the name uncultured bacterium. RNAcentral's name for it is "partial 16S ribosomal RNA". It matches the Rfam family "Bacterial small subunit ribosomal RNA", at positions 29 to 507 of the family's 1533-position model. The record is from RNAcentral.